CAGCAUUCUGUAGCAAUACAGGGUGUGGGCGCGUGGCGAACGGGUGCGUAACACGUGGAUAACCUUCCUUCAGGUGGGGAAUAACCCAGUGAAAAUUGGGCUAAUACCGCAUAACAUCGCGAUGGCACAUGCUGUUGCGUUCAAAGGCGCAAGUCGCCAGAAGAGGGAUCCGCGGCCGAUUAGCUAGUUGGCGAGGUAACGGCUCACCAAGGCAUUGAUCGGUAGCCGGACUGAGAGGUCGCCCGGCCACACUGGAACUGAGACACGGUCCAGACUCCUCCGCGAGGCAGCAGUGGGGAAUCUUGCACAAUGGACGAAAGUCUGAUGCAGCAACGCCGCGUGGGGGAUGAAGCUUCUCGGA
RNAcentral lists this ribosomal RNA (361 nucleotides) under uncultured bacterium. RNAcentral's name for it is "bacterial SSU rRNA". It matches the Rfam family "Bacterial small subunit ribosomal RNA", at positions 67 to 422 of the family's 1533-position model. The record is from RNAcentral.